GCUGACUACUCACGAGCUCUUAGUUGAAAGCAGAGCGUCGACAUUCAUAAUACAAAAACAAUUUGCAACUCUCAUUGCCCAAAGAUAUGUAAAGAACAUAAUGAGCUUGAGUCCAGUGAAGCAAAACAGGGAUUGGCCUUGAAAUUUUACCGGGUAGGUUAUAAGUACCCCCAAACCCCCCUUUAAACCCUUUCAAUUUGGGCAUUUAGAGUCAGCGCAAGUUCUUGUUCUCUCGGUAUACGAUGGAGUCGGGCCUGUGAGUUACAUCUGUGGAGAUUGUGGGCAGGAGAAUACCCUAAAACCUGGCGAUGUGCUUCACUGCCGUGAAUGUGGCUAUCUUAUUCUCUAUAAGAAGCGAACCCGCAGAAGUAAUUUUUUAUUUCUGGUUUUACUUUCCGUUGUUAAUAAUAUAUCGGUUCGACUUGAUUCUUUGCAAUCACAAUAUGUCUUGUGGAGAAAUUCAACAUGUUCUUUUAUAACAUACUUUACUUUCUUUAAAGGCGAGAAAGGGCUUACUCUAUUACUAUAAGUUACUAGUUUAUGAACUAUCUCAGAUAUGUCAUGUAAGUAGACUUACGGAUGUGAUAGACAUUUUUAUUUCUAGCAAGGAAGAUACUCUCACUCUGCCUCAGGCUUGAAGCAAUAUAGUAGUAAAUUUCAAGGGUUA
Molecule: long non-coding RNA, 667 nt
Organism: Nicotiana tabacum (common tobacco)
Lineage: Eukaryota; Viridiplantae; Streptophyta; Magnoliopsida; Solanales; Solanaceae
Source: RefSeq, a predicted model, not a curated record